Molecule: ribosomal RNA, 119 nt
Filed under: Pteropus alecto (black flying fox)
Lineage: Eukaryota; Metazoa; Chordata; Mammalia; Chiroptera; Pteropodidae
Also listed under: 1 other name
Source: RNAcentral
GUCUACAGCCAUGGCACCCUGAACAUGCCUGAUCUCAUCUGAUCUCAGAAGCUAAGCAGGGUCAGGCCUGGUUACUACUUGGAUGGCAGACCACGUAGGAAUACCAGGUGCUGUAGGCA